This 71-nucleotide transfer RNA is filed under the name Marmota marmota marmota (Alpine marmot). It matches the Rfam family "tRNA". From Rfam's summary of the family: Transfer RNA (tRNA) molecules are approximately 80 nucleotides in length. Their secondary structure includes four short double-helical elements and three loops (D, anti-codon, and T loops). RNAcentral also lists the same sequence under 2 other names. Lineage: Eukaryota; Metazoa; Chordata; Mammalia; Rodentia; Sciuridae. The record is from Rfam by way of RNAcentral.
GGUGUUGUGGUUCAGUGGUAGAGCACUUACCUAGUAUGCAUGAGACACUGGGUUCAAUCCCAGCACCACAU